RNAcentral lists this signal recognition particle RNA (298 nucleotides) under Saimiri boliviensis boliviensis (Bolivian squirrel monkey). RNAcentral describes it as "Metazoan signal recognition particle RNA (ENSSBOG00000001878.1)". It matches the Rfam family "Metazoan signal recognition particle RNA". Rfam says of the family: The signal recognition particle (SRP) is a universally conserved ribonucleoprotein. It is involved in the co-translational targeting of proteins to membranes. The eukaryotic SRP consists of a 300-nucleotide 7S RNA and six proteins: SRPs 72, 68, 54, 19, 14, and 9. Lineage: Eukaryota; Metazoa; Chordata; Mammalia; Primates; Cebidae. The record is from RNAcentral.
GCCGGGUGCAGUGGCCCAUGACUGUAGUCCCAGCUACUCAGGAGGUUGAGGUGGGAGGAUCGCUUGAGCCCGGGAGUUCUAGGCUAUAAUGCACUAUGCCGAUCGGGUGUCUGCACUAAGUUCAGCAUCAAUAUGGUGACCUCCUGGGAGUGGGGGACCACCAGGUUGCCUAAGGAGGGGUGAACCUGCCCAGGUUGGAAACGGAGCAGGUCAAAACUCCUGUGCUGCUCAGUAGUGGGAUCACGCCUGUGAAUAGCCACUGUACUCCAGCCUAGGCAACACAGCGGACUCCGUCUCU